Molecule: ribosomal RNA, 460 nt
Filed under: uncultured bacterium
Lineage: Bacteria
Description: partial 16S ribosomal RNA
Rfam family: Bacterial small subunit ribosomal RNA
Source: RNAcentral
ACUACGGGAGGCAGCAGUGAGGAAUAUUGGUCAAUGGGCGCGAGCCUGAACCAGCCAUGCAGCGUGAAGGAUGACUGCCCUACGGGUUGUAAACAUCUUUUAUAAAGGAAUAAAGUGAGGCACGUGUGCCUUCUUGUAUGUACUUUAUGAAUAAGUAUCGGCGAACUCCGUGCCAGCAGCCGCGGUGAUAAGGAGGAGCCGAGCGUUAUCCGGAUUUAUUGGGUUUAAAGUGAGCGUAGAUGGGUUGUUAAGUCAGCUGUGAAAGUUUGCGGCUCAACCGUAGAAGUGCAAUUGAUACUGGCAGGCUUGAGUACAGUAGAGGUGGGCAGAAUGCGUGGUGUAGCGGUGAAAUGCGUAGAGAUCACGAAGAACACCGAUUGCGAAGGCAGCCUACUAGACUGCCACUGACGUUGAGGCGCGAAAGUGUGGGUAUCAAACAGGAUUAGAUACCCUAGUAGUC